CUACGGGGUGCUGCAGUAAGGAAUAUUGCGCAAUGGACGAAAGUCUGACGCAGCGACGCCGCGUGGGGGAUGAAGGUCUUCGGAUUGUAAACCCCUUUCGGCAGGGAAGAUGGAAUGGGGUAACCCAUUUGGACGGUACCUGCAGAAGCAGCCACGGCUAACUUCGUGCCAGCAGCCGCGGUAAUACGAAGGUGGCAAGCGUUGUUCGGAUUCACUGGGCGUACAGGGAGCGUAGGCAGUUGGGUAAGCCCUCCGUGAAAUCUCCGGGCCUAACCCGGAAAGUGCAGAGGGGACUGCUCAGCUAGAGGAUGGGAGAGGAGCGCGGAAUUCCCGGUGUAGCGGUGAAAUGCGUAGAGAUCGGGAGGAAGGCCGGUGGCGAAGGCGGCGCUCUGGAACAUUUCUGACGCUGAGGCUCGAAAGCGUGGGGAGCAAACAGGAUUAGAUACCCCAGUAGUC
This 456-nucleotide ribosomal RNA is filed under the name uncultured bacterium. RNAcentral's name for it is "partial 16S ribosomal RNA". It matches the Rfam family "Bacterial small subunit ribosomal RNA", at positions 339 to 795 of the family's 1533-position model. The record is from RNAcentral.